RNAcentral lists this ribosomal RNA (465 nucleotides) under Vreelandella stevensii. RNAcentral's name for it is "partial 16S ribosomal RNA". It matches the Rfam family "Bacterial small subunit ribosomal RNA", at positions 338 to 795 of the family's 1533-position model. Lineage: Bacteria; Pseudomonadati; Pseudomonadota; Gammaproteobacteria; Oceanospirillales; Halomonadaceae. The record is from RNAcentral.
CCUACGGGAGGCAGCAGUGGGGAAUAUUGGACAAUGGGGGGAACCCUGAUCCAGCCAUGCCGCGUGUGUGAAGAAGGCCCUCGGGUUGUAAAGCACUUUCAGUGAGGAAGAACGCCUGGUGGUUAAUACCCAUCAGGAAAGACAUCACUCACAGAAGAAGCUCCGGCUAACUCCGUGCCAGCAGCCGCGGUAAUACGGAGGGUGCGAGCGUUAAUCGGAAUUACUGGGCGUAAAGCGCGCGUAGGUGGCUUGAUAAGCCGGUUGUGAAAGCCCCGGGCUCAACCUGGGAACGGCAUCCGGAACUGUCAAGCUAGAGUGCAGGAGAGGAAGGUAGAAUUCCCGGUGUAGCGGUGAAAUGCGUAGAGAUCGGGAGGAAUACCAGUGGCGAAGGCGGCCUUCUGGACUGACACUGACACUGAGGUGCGAAAGCGUGGGUAGCAAACAGGAUUAGAUACCCGGGUAGUC